Molecule: long non-coding RNA, 2654 nt
Organism: Mytilus californianus (California mussel)
Lineage: Eukaryota; Metazoa; Mollusca; Bivalvia; Mytilida; Mytilidae
Exons: 2
Source: RefSeq, a predicted model, not a curated record
UUGCUUACAGAUCACUUUCAUUAAUUUUAAGAUUUGUAAAGCUUCGUUAAAACUCUUUUAUCUUCUUAGUUUAAAAGAAAACCUAAAUGUAAACUUUUGAAUUAUUAUAUAUACGAUCUAUAACAGUAUUAGAUUCUUGGAAAGUAUCCUGUUAAUUAAAUUUGUGCAUAUUUUUUUUUUCAAAGUGAAACAAACGUUGGAAUAAAACACCUGUGAGAAAUCCGGUGUGAAAUCCACAACCCAAUCCCGUAACGGACACCUGUAUUGGAUGAUGUCAUUAGCAACGAAGACCUACACACAUCAGCGUUUACUUAACUAGCUUCACAUCACUGAUAUAAUAACCAGGGGAAAUCCAGUUAAAGACAGAAUACAAAAGAGAUACGGGUAGCAAUGCUUAUCAACCUGGCAAUUUUACACGUAGUGGCCUUAAUUAUUAAAGGUGUAUACGCCGUCCCAAUUAGCAAUAUUAACAGUCAAAAAGAUGGGCAAUUACGAAUGUACGGACUAUUAGAUGAAUAUUUUAGGGACAAAGACACAAAUAAAGAUCACAGUCAGAACAAAUACCCAUCUCAUUUAAGUGAACUGGGAACUCAAAAGAGAGGAAAAUAUUCUUGGUCAGUGGCUUAUGGGAAACGUGACCGUUGGAUCGCCUAUGGGAAAAGGAAUUCUCGUCUUAGUGGAAUAGCAAUGCCUGCGUUUGAACCAUCAUUGGACGAAUCACAUGAUUUACCAGUUUAUGACAACAAUGCAGUUAAAAGACACCAAAUGUGGGAGGCUAGAUGGGGAAAGAAACGAACAACCGUAUCUGCAAAUCCAACAACAAAGGCCAUGGAAAACUUCGAACAACAACAGUCCUAUGAAGGAUAUUUCACUAAAAAUCCAACUUUCAAACGUCAACAGUGGACGAAAUCUCCGUGGGGAAAACGAUCAUAUUAAAGAAACAAAAUUCAAAUAAUGAUUUAUUGUAUCAAUAUGGAAAAUAAGUGACACAACUAAAACAAGAAACGCUUUUUCAGUGUAAAUAUCAUUUAACGAGAACAUCGAACGAUCCUUUAAUGAAAGGUUCAGUGUCCCACAGCAAAGUUUGAUCGUUUCUUAUUGUUUCUUUUGUUUCAUUUGUGAACCUUUGACAAAUCAUUUUUUCUGCUGCCUUUGGAAUUCCCAACAUCGGCUGAUACCCCAGCUUAUAAAUAUACAAGAAAUUUUUGUCAUAACAGUUCUUCAUGGUUAAUACAGAUACUUUUGUGUUGCAAUGAUCAAUCUGACUUGGAAUUUAUGGUUUAAACGCUAAACAUUGUAUCUAUAUAGAAAAGUAACCUCAUUUGACACCUAGCUAAAUUCGGGGUGAACCAGAUUCGGUGUAUUUAUUAGUUUUGGGAUUGACUAAGUAAAUAUACGUAUAGUCGUGACAAUUUUGAUAAUUUAUUUUCAAACAUUUACAUAGAUAAUUGAAUUAUCAUCUUGCUGCAUGUUGUUUAAUAUCAUGUUAACACAAUCCAAUUUUAAUUCCGUGACAUCAAGACUUAGUACGCAUAUUUCUAAUGAUUCUCUUCUGUAAUAAGCGUACUAAUGAUAAUACCUUGUCGUUUUACUAUUGUAUGAAUGAAAAAUAGAGAUGUGGGGUAAUACAUCACUGAGAAAACAACUCAACAACAGAGAUUCCCACAGACAUCUACAGAUCAACAUUCAUACCAUCUUUAACAAUAGACAAAUUAACAUACAAUAUAUACCAAGUUCUAAAUUGCACCAAUUAAAAAAUAUAUGAAUAAAUUAUACAGAUUUAUUCCAUGAAAGUAUAACUUUUAAGACUGUGUGAGUCUUUCUUUAAAUGUUAUUAUUAUUAUUGUUGUAGCUUUCUAUUAGAAUGUAUAUAACAUACAGAUGGGGGAACCGAGAGUCAAUACGUCUGUAAACCGAUUGUAAAAGCCUGCAUUGGCAUGAUUAUUUUCGAAAACAUUUGUAUGUUGUAUAUGUAUAUAAGUUUCUUUACUCUGUCUCGAAUGUCUAAAUGUCGAUUUCCGUUUUAGUUAAUAAAAAUAAAAUUUGAAGAUACCCAGGAGACAUUCUAAACUCAUAAGUCGAAGAAUAACUGACACCGCCCUGCAAAGAAACGACAGAAAAAAAAACAAGUCCACAAAACACUUACAUAGGAAAUAAGAGACUGGCAACACGAACCCCACCUAAACUGGGGGUGAACUCAGGUAUUCCUGUGGCACCCGUCGUGUUGCUGAUAAUUUUGAAUAUCCCAUGACUUCUGAUUUUCCAUGUGAGGCAAGGUUUCCGAUUUAUUUUAUAGGACAACGUGAUAUGUUUACCCUAUUCAAUUUAAAAGUCACGAAUACGGUUGAAAAAACUUAGGAGGCAUUUAAGUAAAAUAUAAGAAAACAUUUAGGUCUUGGUCAAAAUGAAAGGGUUCCUUUGUGAAUAUUUGAAACAGCCUUUCUGCAAAUGUUUAAAACAAAAUAUGAGAUAAAAGAGUAUUAUUUCAAAAUUGCAAUUGUUUUUUUUUUUCGCUAGAGGUUGAUAAAAUAUAUUACGUGGCAGAAAGUAAAUGCUGAAAUUGUAUGUAACUGUACUAUGUAUUUGAAAGAAAUGAUAUGAAAAGGCUUCAAUAACGAGUACUACUACCCUAUGAUAAUAAAAUUUGAAGAUUG